RNAcentral lists this ribosomal RNA (309 nucleotides) under uncultured fungus. RNAcentral's name for it is "SSU rRNA". It matches the Rfam family "Eukaryotic small subunit ribosomal RNA", at positions 39 to 352 of the family's 1831-position model. The record is from RNAcentral. Lineage: Eukaryota; Fungi.
AAAGAUUAAGCCAUGCAUGUCUAAGUAUAAGCAAUUAUACCGUGAAACUGCGAAUGGCUCAUUAAAUCAGUUAUCGUUUAUUUGAUAAUACCUUACUACAUGGAUAACUGUGGUAAUUCUAGAGCUAAUACAUGCUGAAAAUCCCGACUUCGGAAGGGAUGUGUUUAUUAGAUAAAAAACCAAUGCCCUUCGGGGCUCUUUGGUGAUUCAUGAUAACUUUACGGAUCGCAUAGCCUUGCGCUGGCGACGGUUCAUUCAAAUUUCUGCCCUAUCAACUUUCGAUGGUAAGGUAUUGGCUUACCAUGGUUU